Non-coding RNA from Zootoca vivipara (common lizard), 4740 nucleotides. NCBI's taxonomy places the organism in Eukaryota, Metazoa, Chordata, Lepidosauria, Squamata, Lacertidae. The record is from RefSeq and is a predicted model, not a curated record.
UAUGAAGAAAAUAAAAUAAUAAUAAUAAUAAUAAUAAUAAUAAUAAUAAUAAUAAUAAUAAAUUUAUGCCUCACCCAUCUGGCUGGGUUUCCCCAGCCAUGCUGGGCAGCUCCCAACAGAAUAUUAAAAACAUGAUAAAACAUAAAACAUUAAAAACUUUCCUAAACAGGGAUGCCUUCAGAUGUCUACUAAAAGUAAGAUAGUUGUUUAUUUCUUUGACAUCUGAUGGGAGGGCAUUCCACAGGGCGGGUGCCACUACCGAGAAGGCCCUCUGCCUUGUUCCCUGCAACCUCACUUCUCGCAGUGAGGGAACCACCAGAAGGCCCUCAGCGCUGGACCUCAGUGUCCGGGCUGAAUGAUGGGGGUGGAGAUGCUCCUUCAGGAGGCCGUUUAGGGAAUAGGCUGCAUUUACAUGGCAGUUUAUUCCCUUUCCCUGCUAAUUUCUACAUUACACCUGAACUUUCACAUGGUGUGAAAGCUACUUCCAGAAAAUUGAUGGAAAUAGUGCAUGUUUAGCAUUCAUUUCUGUGUUAUUCGGUUAAAGAAAAAUCCUUUUGCAGCCCCCUUGACCUGGAAAGUUGUGGCAGUAAAGUGAUGGAAUUUGGAUUGGUAUACCGAUAUAGAGUUCUUUCCUGAGGUUAUAAUGGGACAGAAGCGCUACUGUUUUUAUCACUAGCCCAUGUCUGAAUACACCCAUAGGAGGGCAUCUCCUCCCUCUCUCUGAGGCUUUUGAUAUUUUCCCUCUCUCCUCCAGAGGUACUGCAGCUGGACUCCUUCAUCUGCCAGAAGUGGAACCUCCAGGGGAUGGAUGACUGACAGGGAAGUGGGAAGGCUGGUCCAUGGCCCACCAACCGCCCAGCCAUUGCUCACUGUCAAAAUCUCUUCCCAGGAGGGGAAAGAAAAUGGGCUACGUCUCACCAGCCUAUGCAGCAACAAGCUACUGCAGCUCCUUUCUUCUCUCGCCUCACACACCUUUACAUCAGAGGGAGCACAAGUGGCCAUUCCAUCCUCAAGUGUGUUGAAUGUUCCCAUGGUCAACAUUUCACCUUUAAUGGUUUAGCAGGCCCAUCUUGUGUAGAGGUAGCAGGAUCAAUCUGCCACGAACCUCCAGAGAAGUCUCCUUGUGAGAAUCCCACACCUUUGCAGGGUUGUACUCCCCCCCCCAAUGAUAACAAUACUUAACAAGGCUUAGUAUAUUUCCAUAAAAUAAAUUGUAAGGUAUCAACAACAACAAUCCAGAAAAAGAAAAUACACCCAAACAGCACAUGAAGUUAAACCAAAUAACACAUAAGAAAAGAGGCUCAUACUUCCAUGUUCCAAUAUGUUAUAACUAUACUAAAUUUCUCAACAAAUCCAUUUUCAGCUUGACUACAUUUUCUGUGCCUGUUAUUUUUAACAUACAUGUCAUAUAUAUAUAUCCUAGAUCCUCAGUAGUAAUCCCAUUCCUGCACAAUUAUACUUGCAUCAACUUCCAAGAAAUCACUUCCCAUAAUAUUUUGCUGUGCCUCUGGAAAGCUCUGAGCAGCUUUUGAUUUGAAAAGUUUCCCCUAUUUCUACUGUGUAUACUGUAUCUGUAUCUACAGUGGUACCUCUACUUAUGAAUAACUCUACUUACGAAUGUUUCUACUUACGAAUGGAGCUCCGUCCGCCAUCUUGGAUGCGGUUUAGAUAGGAUUUUUUCUACUUACGAAUUUUUAGAUAGGGUUGCUUCUACUUACGAAUUUUUUCUCCCAAUGCAUUCCUAUGGGAUUUGACUUGCAUUUUUUUCGACUUACGAAUGUGCGUUCAGAACGCAUUAAAUUCGUAAGUAGAGGUACCACUGUAUUCAAAUUCCAAUCCACCUUACAAUGCGCUAUGAAGAAUGGGGAGCACAUUUUUAGUCUCCCGUCUCAUAGACCCUUUAGGUUAUUUAAUUCUUUCCUGCAUCAUGACCAAAUAUUCUAUACCAGAGUCAUCUGAAGGCAUGAACUCCUUUUGUACUGCAGAUUAGAAGGAAUGCUAUUUGUAUCUCAGUGACAGCUGUGAACAGGCAAUGUUUCAAUCCUAGUGUAGCUGUGGAAGCCAAAGAACAGCUGAAAGGACUUUCGUGAUUUUGGUGCCACAACUUGCCACCUGUCCUUGCUUCAAGACCAGUGUUUGUAAUGAAUGUGCUCAUUUCAACAAAGGUAACUGAACUAAUUUUUACAAAAUCUCUGAACUACACCUGAAAGUAGUUUCCAUAAUAAAGUAUUGGUGAGUUAAGUGCAUUUAUAAAGCCUCCGAUGGCUCCAUCUCCUUGCUUAAGCUCCUCAUGUUGCAUAUGUGGGCAGAACCCCCAGCCUGGCCAGGCUCACUAGAAAUUCUCCGAAGUGCCUGAUCUGAUUACAGUGGUACCUUGGUUUACAAACACAAUUGGUUCCGGAAGUCCAUACUUAACCUGAAGCGUACUUAACCUGAAGCGGACUUUCCCAUUGAAAGUAAUGGAAAGUGGAUUAAUCUGUUCCAGACAGGUCCGCUGAAUACUUAAACUGAAAAUACUCAAAUCGAGGCGUACUUAAACUAAGGUAUGACUGAAGAAGAAGUGUGCAUGCACACGAAAGCUCAUACCAAAAUAUAAACUUAGUUGGUCUUUAAGGUGCUACUGAAGGAAUUUUUUUAUUUUGCUUCGACUCAGACCAACACGGCUACCUACCUGUUACUAAGGUAUGACUGUAUGACAAGGUAUGAGCUUCUGCUGAAUAAGUCCCUGGCCCUUGGAAAACAAUGUAAUUUUAAUGCAAAAUUGAAUCCUCUUUUGUUCCCUUGUAUUUGCAAUGUUUAAUUCUCCCACCCCAUUUUUUGUUUUGUCAUCCUAAAUGUAAAGUGAACACAUUGUAUUUUCUCUUAAUUGAAAUUCAGAAACCGAAUUUGCCUUUCCUAAAGAUGACAGUUUAGAAGGAACAAUGUUUAGAAUUCCUAGAGCGUUUAUUAGGUUUCCUGCAACUUUCCCAAUGAACUACCUGCUAAGUUUAAAGCAUGUUGUUGACUCUCCCAUAAGCAUGUAGUCUGGUAGUGCUGCUGAAAAGUCAGCGUGGACUGACAAAUAACUUUAAAAAUUCAUCUGCUGCAAGCACAAAAGCUGAGCCCUGUGAAUAGGCCCUUAUUUUUCUGGCCACCACUGAGUUUAUUAAGCAAAGCUAUCUGACAGGGUCUCUCUCCCCUCACUAGAGAGCCAUUCUGAAUGCUGAAACAUUUCAUCAGGCCUAAUAUGGCUGUGUAUUUUCUGCAAUUGCAACUCAGCUGCUUUUUUGUGUGUGCCCUAUUUUGUUGGGAAAGAUCGCAGUGAGGAUAUUCAGUGAAUUAGGAGUCUAAUGCAGAGGAUUUCUUUGUGGGCUUCUGCUGGGAAGCGAGCAAGUAAAUUGCAUGACAGAAUUGAGGCUUAUAAAUUUGUGAUAGGUCUCACACUGUGCAGGUGCCUGAGCCAAAGAAAAUAUAUCUAGAAGAGAACAGACACAUCCAAUGCACAGGGAACAACUGUCUGCCCUGCUUCUGACCUUUCCUAGCUGUCUGGUUAAGAAGGUGGCGUGGAAACUGGUGAAUCCCAUCUUCCUAGUUCAAAGCAUAAUGCAUGAUAAUCAGUAGGAAGAACAGGAAAAGGGGGAGAGGAAAAAAUAGUCACGGAAGUUAAAACUUUAUCCCUCCUUCCACUACAUUCCAGUUAAUGUCAUGUGCUAACUAAGUCCUCAUUUCUGGAACUUCAGCGCUUUAUUUCUGAAGCUAAUCAUGAAGCCACCUUAGAACUUUUGGUUUUUCAACCAUUUCCCCAAGAACUUUGGUCAGAAUUCCAGUUCUACAGAAAUCUCUCCCUGGUCUGCCUCGGGGUUUUUCAGCCACAGAAUCACUGAUUGGACUUGAUUCACUAAAACUUUGCCAAAUUUUGCUUGGAAGGACCCUGUUCAGGGUAGAUGUUAAAAGGCAGCUUCUGAAUGAAUUUUACUAGCCUGGCAGUGUGCGCAUGUUUACUUUCAGCAUAUCUCACAAAAAACAUCCUCUCAGCUUGCCUUUGCAUACACCAAACUAUCCCCCCCCCAAUGUUUACUUGUCUCAUUUAUGGGAGCUCCCAGCACAUACAUUGCCUGAACAAAAGGGGGAGCUGGAAAAUAUUCCCUAUGUGCUAAAUGGAUUGAACUCAUCUCUGUGAUGGGAAUUGUUUGUUUCUGCUCACUUACUACCCUGAGAGUUUUCCAUUCAACCCAGCCUUUGGAAGUCUAGAUUGAAUUUCAACAUGGGUGGCAUAACUUUUCAAUGAAACAUCCUCCAUGGAAAGUCAUCAGUCACUGUUUCAAACAUGGCAGUUCUGGGCUCAUCUACCUUGUCAGAGCUCGAAAGGGCACCAGUUCCCUUUUUCUUCCCCACCUUGCUGUUACCUUGUUUAGAAACCCAUUUCUUGUCACUCCCAUCACAUUGUUACUUUCCUGUUGGCAAGCAGUCCUCACUGUGGUUGUUAUGGGGAAGAGGGGGGGAAAGAAACCCAACAAUUUUUUAAAAAAGUUUCCUAAAGCAGCUCUCUUACCUGUCACAUCUGAAUUUCAUUAGUGUUGACAGAAAAGCAUGAUGGUUCUUAAUUGAAGAUUCACACCUGUGGUAUGACAGCAGCUGCUUCUUUUUUUCAGGCUACCUUCGGGCCUCUCCUCAGCUUGCUGCUGUUCUGAGGAACGGUAUUUAUUGGGAGAAAUGCAUUUCUUUAAUAAAAAGGCUUUUCAAGGCAAUGCUCAUUUUCAA